AUUAUAUGUAUGAAUAUUUUAUAAGAGAUGUUAGUACGUAAGAAAUAAGUUAAGAAAAACUAUAGAUAAUAAGUAAAACAGUAAAAUUCAAUAAGUUAAGCAAUACUUAAUUAUUCACACAAAUAGGUUAAAAUAACAAUUGUGCAAUUCAGUGCCAGUAAACUUUAUAUUACAGUUAGCAUAGUAAGCAAGAUAUAAUAAUAAGAAAUGUAAAUAAAUUUGUUUAAUAAUUUACUAAUCGGGUUAAAAUAACAAUUACAUAAUAAUCAUAGUGUCUAUAAACUGUAAAUUUAACGUAGUAAUAGAAAAAUGUAGAACAAUCGAUAGUAAUUCGAUUGUAAGUGUAAUAUAUAAGUGAGAUGGCUAAGACAGCAAAGGGGGUCAGUAGUGGUAAUCGUGUGACUCGAUUAUCACUAGACGUCAUAUGUGAAUAAAGUUCUUCUUUUGCGUUAUUUUGUGCUUAACUUUAUUUAUUUUGAUAUACGUCCGAGUAAUCGGCGUAUACGACAACUUAAAGUCUAUUAUAACAAACAAUUUUAGAUUGAUUAUUCUUUAGUAGUUUUUGAAUUUUACUCAGACUUAAAACAUAAUUACCUACAAAGCAAUAUAAUAGUAAUUUUUUGGUAUAACUAAAUAGUAGUAAACUACAUUACAUGCUCGAUAAUUUCUCGACGACUGACUAGAUAAUAUCUAAUAUAUCUUAUAUUAUACGUCGGCUUCACUGACCGAUAACAAUAAUCACUACGAUCUAUAAUAAUAAUCGUUGGAACGCCGAAUUAGAAAAGGAUGGUUUCAAUGCAGAUCUUCCAGAACAUAAUUCUAGUCUAGGUUCUGAAACCAACAAAAAAGUCAGUUCAAUGAAAUAUUAUUCAUACCGCCUAAUGAUUCGGGAAAAUGAAGACAAUCACUUAUUGAAAUGUCGGUGAUUAUAUCACAAAUAUGUUUUGUUACAUGUAUGUUAAAACUGAAACGGAGAGAUUAAUAUUCAUCAGGUUGAAUCAAACAAAACUCCGAUCUGAAGAGUAUAAUAUUCACCUUCGAGAUGCGAUUAAUACUGAUUGAAGUGCACAGCAUGUUGGUCGGAUGACUAUACAUCCGAUUUGUAUAUUUGGACAACGUUGAUGUGUGCUUUGAAGGUCUUUGUUAAAUCAAAUAAUAAAAAAAAAAAAUGACACUAAAAUGUAACUAAUGAUUCAUUCAAUACUUAGUAUUUUAGAUACAAUGUGGAAACCGGUAGAAAUAUUGUUGACUGUUGAGAACGAUUGAUUAAUUACCAAUACUUAGUUAACCAUUGUGUUACUACUAUUAAAGGAAAAAGAAGAGAAAGAAAAAUGAAUCACUCUAUAUCAUUUAUAUGUUGUGGUUUUUCCCCUUUAAUAAUAAUUUAUAGUUAUUAUACUUCUACUGAUAUAACUAAUAGUAUAAAAUAUAAUCUCAGAUGAAGCUAUGAAGGUAUUUCCCUGUAAAGUAUUGAGAUAAAUAAAAAAAAAGUCUAAAUAGUCUUAACCCGACAACCGUCGUUAUUGGUUAGUGAGUCACUAAUAUUUAUAUAGGUAGGUACAUUGGAACCUGCCAUUUUUUUAUAGAGCUUAUUAUCUAUAUCAGUGGGGAGUUGUUCGAUUAUCUAAUUAUAUAAUAUAUACAUACAUAUUUUUAUUUUUUUUAUUUAUUUUUUUUUAUCCAGAUUAGUUUUCUAACAAGUCACGGCAGGCACCAGAUUUUUUUUAAACGACGCCUGGGGUUGCCAGGUAAUGUUUGGGUGGACAGGUUUUUAAUGAGUGGGUUUUGGUGUGUUUGUAGACGGGUGUGAACAUUUUUGUAGAAGCGUGUAGCUUCUUCUGUCACCAUUUUAAUUGAUAGGGCUUUAUGUAAAGUGUAAUUAGAAACAAAGGGUGGAGCAUUUGUUAUUUUCCU
Molecule: long non-coding RNA, 1914 nt
Organism: Aphis gossypii (cotton aphid)
Lineage: Eukaryota; Metazoa; Arthropoda; Insecta; Hemiptera; Aphididae
Exons: 3
Source: RefSeq, a predicted model, not a curated record